RNAcentral lists this RNase P RNA (422 nucleotides) under marine eukaryotic metagenome. RNAcentral describes it as "Bacterial RNase P class A". It matches the Rfam family "Bacterial RNase P class A". Rfam says of the family: Ribonuclease P (RNase P) is a ubiquitous endoribonuclease, found in archaea, bacteria and eukarya as well as chloroplasts and mitochondria. The record is from RNAcentral.
GGAGCCGGGCAGCCGCGUCAUUCCGCUGGAAUGCCGAGGAAAGUCCGGGCUCCGCGAAACAAGGGUGGCGGGUAACGCCCGCCGUGGGCAACCACAGGGAAAGUGCCACAGAGAGCAUACCGCCGAUGGCCCACGCUGCUUGUCAGUCUGGGGGCACAGGCAAGGGUGAAAGGGUGCGGCAAGAGCGCACCGGGGGGCCGGCAACGGUUCCCGUCACGGCAAACCCCACCCGGAGCAAGACCGCAUAGGGGUCUCGCGCCGCCCGAUCUUCGGAUUUGGGGGGGCAGGAGCGUUUCGCUCCGAGAGACCCGGGUUGGUCGCUGGAACGCCGGAGCAAUCCGGCGUCUAGAUGAAUGGCUGCCCCCGCGGCGCUGAUGUGCAAGCAUAUCGGCUGCGGGACAGAACCCGGCUUACAGGCUCCC